This 407-nucleotide ribosomal RNA is filed under the name uncultured bacterium. RNAcentral describes it as "partial 16S ribosomal RNA". It matches the Rfam family "Bacterial small subunit ribosomal RNA", at positions 30 to 526 of the family's 1533-position model. The record is from RNAcentral.
AUUGAACGCUGGCGGCAGGCCUAACACAUGCAAGUCGAGCGGAGCGGCGGACGCGUGCGUGAUGCCUAGGAAUCUGCCUGGUCGUGGGGGAUAACGUUCGGAAACGGGCGCUAAUACCGCAUACUCUUAGCUGAGCAUGGGUCGGAUUAGCUAGUGGGUGGGGUAAAGGCUUACCAAGGCGACGAUCCUUAACUGGUCUGAGAGGAUGAUCAUUCACACUGGAACUGAGACACGGUCCAGACUCCUACGGGAGGCAGCAGUGGGGAAUAUUGGACAAUGGGCGAAAGCCUGAUCCAGCCAUGCCGCGUGUAUGAAGAAGGUCUUCGGAUUGUAAAGCACUUUAAGUUGGGAGGCGUUACCAACAGAAUAAGCACCGGCUAACUUCGUGCCAGCCGCCGCGGUAAUUC